CAGCAGCCGCGGUAAUACCAACGGUUCGAGUCGCAGCCACAUUUAUUGGGUCUAAAACAUCCGUAGCUUGUUUUGUAAGUCUUUUGUGAAAUUCUGUCUCUCAAAUUCAGAGCGAGCAGAAGAUACUACAAGGCUAGAGACUGGAAGGCGUAAGAAGUUUGUAUAGGGUAUCGGUAAAAUGAGUUGAUCCUAUGCAGACUAACGAUAGCGAAGGCAUCUUACGAGUACAGUUCUGACAGUAAGGGAUGAAGGCUAGGUUCGCGAAAGGGAUUAGAUACCCCUGUAGUCCUAGCAGUAAACACUGCACACUAAACAUCGGUAUCUCCUCGGGAGGCAUCGGUGCUGUAGCGAAGGCGAAGAGUGUGCUACCUGGGAAGUAUAGUCGCAAGGCCGAAACUUAAAGGAAUUGGCGGGGGGGCACUACAACGGGUGACGCGUGCGGUUCAAUUAGAUUCUACACCGUGAACCUCACCAGGAGCGACAGCAGAAUGAAGGUCAGUCUGAAGGGCUUACCUGACACGCUGAGAGGAGUUGCAUGGCCGACGUCAGCCUGUGCCGUGAGGUGACCUGUUAAAUCAGGUAACAGGCGAGACCCAUGUAUAUAGUUACUUCAAUGAAGCUCACUAUAUAGACUGCCGUGGCAACACGGAGGAAGGUAUGGGCUACGUUAGGUGAGUACUGCCCGAAUCCCCUGGGCUACACGCGCGCGUCAAUGCUGCAUUCAAUGUGAUGCAACUCUGAAAAGAGAAGCCAAUCAUUAAUAUCCAGCUUAGUUUAGAUCGAAGUUUGAAACCCAGCCUCGUGACACCGGAAUCCGUAGUAAUCGUUUGUUAGCAUCAAACGGUGAAUAUGUCCCUGCCCCUUGCACAC
RNAcentral lists this ribosomal RNA (870 nucleotides) under uncultured archaeon. RNAcentral's name for it is "bacterial SSU rRNA". It matches the Rfam family "Archaeal small subunit ribosomal RNA", at positions 459 to 1344 of the family's 1478-position model. The record is from RNAcentral.